This 253-nucleotide ribosomal RNA is filed under the name uncultured bacterium. RNAcentral's name for it is "partial 16S ribosomal RNA". It matches the Rfam family "Bacterial small subunit ribosomal RNA", at positions 524 to 776 of the family's 1533-position model. The record is from RNAcentral.
UACGUAGGGGGCGAGCGUUGUCCGGAUUCAUUGGGCGUAAAGAGCUCGUAGGCGGUUUGUCGCGUCGGGAGUGAAAACCAUGGGCUUAACUCAUGGCUUGCUUUCGAUACGGGCAGACUAGAGGUAUGCAGGGGAGAACGGAAUUCCUGGUGUAGCGGUGAAAUGCGCAGAUAUCAGGAGGAACACCGGUGGCGAAGGCGGUUCUCUGGGCAUGACCUGACGCUGAGGUGCGAAAGCGUGGGGAGCAAACAGG